GUGUUGCACCCAUUUUUUUUUGGAUGGGUCGUUCGACGUUACGCGCGAAUUGAAUUAUGAACUGCUGGUUCAUUCGCAAAGGUGAGUCACGGUGCCGGGGCAUUUUACUUGAUAUUAGAACGAGAAGGAGAGAUGUAGAGUGCACGCACAAGGAAACAAAUGACGGGUGAGGGGAUGGUUGGAGAAAGAGUGCAUGUAUUUGCAGCGCAGAAUGAAAGAUGAGAGAUCAUACCGGCAUUAAUGC
RNAcentral lists this long non-coding RNA (244 nucleotides) under Carica papaya (papaya). Its description in RNAcentral is "long non-coding RNA (CPAP_LNC014548)". The record is from RNAcentral. Lineage: Eukaryota; Viridiplantae; Streptophyta; Magnoliopsida; Brassicales; Caricaceae.